RNAcentral lists this ribosomal RNA (482 nucleotides) under uncultured bacterium. RNAcentral's name for it is "partial 16S ribosomal RNA". It matches the Rfam family "Bacterial small subunit ribosomal RNA", at positions 29 to 507 of the family's 1533-position model. The record is from RNAcentral.
AGUGAACGCUGGCGGCAGGCCUAACACAUGCAAGUCGAACGGCAGCGCACUUCGGGGUUCCGCCUACGGGGGGCGGGUGGCGUACUGCUGAGGAAUGUGCCGGAUCGUGGUGGUUAAUGGGGCAUAACCUUGGGAAAUUUCCCCUACUACCGCCGACUAAAAACGGGGGACAGCAGGGCCUCUUCCGACCGUGGGCGCAGAUGGCAGCUUAGGUCGUUGGUGGGAUAAAACCUUACCAAGCCGACGAUCUGUAGCUGGUCUGAGAGGAUGAUCAGCCACACUGGAACUGAGACACGGCCCAGACUCCUACGGGAGGCAGCAGUGGGGAAUAUUGGACAAUGGGCGCAAGCCUGAUCCAGCCAUACCGCGUGGAGGAUGAAGGCCUUCGGGUUGUAAACUGCUUUUGUACGGAAAGAAAAGCCUUCGUUUAAUACAGGGGGGUUAUGACGGUACCGUAAGAAUAAGCACCGGCUAACUACGUG